This is a non-coding RNA of Punica granatum (pomegranate), 918 nucleotides long. The record is from RefSeq and is a predicted model, not a curated record. NCBI's taxonomy places the organism in Eukaryota, Viridiplantae, Streptophyta, Magnoliopsida, Myrtales, Lythraceae.
GAGAUCGGAGAUUUUAUCGGAGUAGGAGUCGCUAGCAAAGUGCAGAGAGCCCGGUAUGUGCCCGUCAUAGCUCCUCUCUUCAUCCCUGCGAAUCAAUUUUCCCCAAACAUUACAUCAUCAGGACAAAAGCUGAGCGAUUGCGAGGGUCGUUAGGGUUUUACCUGACGUCGAUAACGGCGAUAUUGGGGUGGCGCCGGAGGGACAAAAGCUGAGCUCCGGUGAUGAAGGAGACGCCGUUGCGAGCCAUCUCCGAGCGAUUGGAAGAUUUGAAGCAGUUUUCGAGGAGAGGAGAGGUUACCCACCAAAAGCACCACAAAUUAUGAAGCGAAUUCAUUGUGUGUUUAACGAGUUCCGAGCCCUGCCUGAAGAUUUGCCAUCUACCUCGUUAACCACAAAGGGAAGGGGAAAAAUCAAAGAUUGAAUUGUGAUGCUGUGGGGACCUGUGAUGUGAAGCUGGGGAUGGGAAGUUGGUCGGGCCUGUAGCAAGAAGAUGCCUUGCCUGCUAAUUUUGUCCUUCCAACUGCAGAAGCUUGCUGUUUAAGUAAGGUUGCCUGCUCCCCAAACAAAAGAAUUGGAGGCUCGUCGACAUAGAAUUUUCACUUGGGAGCUAUCGUGAGUCUCUGCUAUAGUAUUGUGGAACUUUUCACUUGGGAUGGAUUGAGCCAUGUCAUACAGAUAUUAAGAUGCUGAUGAAAGAUCUUCCUGGAGAUAAAGUUAGUUUAAUCAGGGGGAAACAAAUGCUUGCGCUGACCGGAUUGCAGCAUCUCCUUACAGUGUUUCGUGUAUAGUGACCAUAGAAGAGUGAAUUGUCCUGACUGAUAAGUGUGUUGAGUUUCAUUCUUCUGUAAACAACUGCAGUGCAUUCGAUAUUGGAUCACAUGAAUAAAAGAGUUUCCCGUCUAGGCCAAGAAAGAUAAA